This 380-nucleotide ribosomal RNA is filed under the name uncultured cyanobacterium. RNAcentral describes it as "bacterial SSU rRNA". It matches the Rfam family "Bacterial small subunit ribosomal RNA", at positions 376 to 770 of the family's 1533-position model. The record is from RNAcentral. Lineage: Bacteria; Bacillati; Cyanobacteriota.
CGAAAGCCUGACGGAGCAACGCCGCGUGAGGGAGGAAGGCCCUUGGGUUGUAAACCUCUUUUGUUAGGGAAGAAGAAAGUGACGGUACCUAACGAAUAAGCAUCGGCUAACUCCGUGCCAGCAGCCGCGGUAAUACGGAGGAUGCAAGCGUUAUCCGGAAUCAUUGGGCGUAAAGAGUCCGUAGGUGGCUAAUCAAGUCCGAAGUUAAAGACAGAAGCUAAACUUCUGGAAAGCAGCGGAAACUGAAGAGCUAGAGUGUAGGAGAGGUAGAGGGAAUUCCCAGUGUAGCGGUGAAAUGCGUAGAGAUUGGGAAGAACACCAGUGGCGAAGGCGCUCUACUGGACUAAAACUGACACUGAGGGACGAAAGCUAGGGUAGCG